Long non-coding RNA from Hemicordylus capensis (graceful crag lizard), 1461 nucleotides. RefSeq lists it as uncharacterized. NCBI's taxonomy places the organism in Eukaryota, Metazoa, Chordata, Lepidosauria, Squamata, Cordylidae. The transcript has 3 exons. The record is from RefSeq and is a predicted model, not a curated record.
GUGACUUCCAAAAUGGCCACCGCACUGAUCUUUGUAGGCCUGAACAGGCCUGAAAAUCAGACUUGGACAUGCUGCAGCGGUGAUCUAAGGGGAGGAGGGGGAACCCUUGCAGACCCCACACACCACACCACCCCUGCAGCCUUUAGGAAGCCCCCUGAAGGGGCUACAGGGGGAAAAAUGAGAGUCACACUUGCUGCAGCCGGUGAUGGGGAGAAGAAACUGAGGAAGGAGGAAGGCAGGCAGCCCCCUCCAGGUUCCAGCGGGUCCUCAGCAAACUGUCCUUCAUGGCUUCCCCUGCCUGGGUGGGAACUGUGAGAGUUGCCCUGCCGCCGCCCCCACCACAUGAAGACUGAGGGCACAGACAUCGUCUCAGGGAUCAGCAGCAGCAGACCCUUCUGGUGGCUCCUGGUUUUCUGCAGCUGUCUAGUCAUGCUAACUCCAGGUGUUGACCCUGCUAGGGCCCUGUUCGAUGCCAGCCCUGCCUGGGACUUUAGUAGUCACCCAAUGAGAUGCCGACUCCUGAUUCUGCUGCCCACAUAUUCCCAAUAUUAAGUUCACAGCCAUGAGGUCUAGAAACUUGUUUUUUUUAAAAAGAAAAUAUUGAAAGUGAUGAUUCCCAUAAUACUCAAUAGCAUACCAGAAGCCAAACUGGCUUAUGCAGUGUGAUCACAGAUGUGCAGAAUAUUGCAGGCCUGGGCAUGCAACAUGAAAUAGCCAGGCCAGGUCUCUGCUUCUGUUUACCUUUCUUAUGCUUGGUGCUUUUUGGUAUUUUGUGGUUUUUACUGUUUAACUGAUUUUAAAGUUUUAAAUGUGAUUUUUAUGGCGUUUUAUUGUAUUUAAACUUUCGUAAACCGCCUUGGGCUGCCUUAUGAAAGGCGGUAUAAAAAUUGAACAAUAAAUAAAUAGUUAUGCUUUGAAUAACAUGUUUUUGCUUUUCAGAAUACAAAUGGUAUUGCUGCUUUGGAAGAACCUUUCAUGCUUAGAUGUCAUAUGUUUGUGGGGUUUUUUAAAAAGCUGUCACACAUCUAACUCAAAAAGCUAACAUUUCCAGAAUGUCAGUAUUAAGUGCACACUAGCAAAUGGGGCUUCUCAAAAAACAAAAGAACAAAAACAUGUUAGCAAAAUGGAAAGGUACAGGUAAAUGCUAAUACUAAUGCAACCUCAUACACAUAGAACAGAACUACUAUGUGUACAGCUACAGGGCUUGGGAUCAGAGUCUCUUUUAUACUGUACUUGUGAAGACUCAACUUGUCUUAAGAGCAUAAGAACAGUCCUGCUGGAUGGCCCAAGGCCUAUCUAGUAGGGAUGUGCACGAACAAGUUUGGCGCUCCCUUUCUGGAGCGCCAAACCUGUUGGAACACCGGUGUUUGAGCUGGCUUAACAGGCGGCGGGUGUGUGUGCCUUUAAAAAACAAGUAAGGCGCUCCUUACCUGCUCAUCCCCUCCCUGCUGCAUUCCCCCA